RNAcentral lists this ribosomal RNA (253 nucleotides) under uncultured bacterium. RNAcentral's name for it is "partial 16S ribosomal RNA". It matches the Rfam family "Bacterial small subunit ribosomal RNA", at positions 524 to 776 of the family's 1533-position model. The record is from RNAcentral.
UACGAAGGGGGCUAGCGUUGUUCGGAUUUACUGGGCGUAAAGCGCACGUAGGCGGGUCGUUAAGUCGGGGGUGAAAUCCUGGAGCUCAACUCCAGAACUGCCUUCGAUACUGGCGACCUAGAGUCCGGAAGAGGUGAGUGGAACUCCUAGUGUAGAGGUGGAAUUCGUAGAUAUUAGGAAGAACACCAGUGGCGAAGGCGGCUCACUGGUCCGGUACUGACGCUGAGGUGCGAAAGCGUGGGGAGCGAACAGG